AAUAAGAUGCCUGACUAAAAGGACUAUUUUGAUAGAAUAGAUCAUGUAUAAAUAAUACUCUUAUUA
This 66-nucleotide transfer RNA is filed under the name Vesperocoris paddocki. RNAcentral describes it as "tRNA-Ile". Lineage: Eukaryota; Metazoa; Arthropoda; Insecta; Hemiptera; Miridae. The record is from RNAcentral.